This 655-nucleotide ribosomal RNA is filed under the name Escherichia coli. Its description in RNAcentral is "partial 23S ribosomal RNA". It matches the Rfam family "Bacterial large subunit ribosomal RNA", at positions 535 to 1191 of the family's 2925-position model. Lineage: Bacteria; Pseudomonadati; Pseudomonadota; Gammaproteobacteria; Enterobacterales; Enterobacteriaceae. The record is from RNAcentral.
GGAGUGAAAAAGAACCUGAAACCGUGUACGUACAAGCAGUGGGAGCACGCUUAGGCGUGUGACUGCGUACCUUUUGUAUAAUGGGUCAGCGACUUAUAUUCUGUAGCAAGGUUAACCGAAUAGGGGAGCCGAAGGGAAACCGAGUCUUAACUGGGCGUUAAGUUGCAGGGUAUAGACCCGAAACCCGGUGAUCUAGCCAUGGGCAGGUUGAAGGUUGGGUAACACUAACUGGAGGACCGAACCGACUAAUGUUGAAAAAUUAGCGGAUGACUUGUGGCUGGGGGUGAAAGGCCAAUCAAACCGGGAGAUAGCUGGUUCUCCCCGAAAGCUAUUUAGGUAGCGCCUCGUGAAUUCAUCUCCGGGGGUAGAGCACUGUUUCGGCAAGGGGGUCAUCCCGACUUACCAACCCGAUGCAAACUGCGAAUACCGGAGAAUGUUAUCACGGGAGACACACGGCGGGUGCUAACGUCCGUCGUGAAGAGGGAAACAACCCAGACCGCCAGCUAAGGUCCCAAAGUCAUGGUUAAGUGGGAAACGAUGUGGGAAGGCCCAGACAGCCAGGAUGUUGGCUUAGAAGCAGCCAUCAUUUAAAGAAAGCGUAAUAGCUCACUGGUCGAGUCGGCCUGCGCGGAAGAUGUAACGGGGCUAAACCAUG